RNAcentral lists this ribosomal RNA (380 nucleotides) under uncultured bacterium. RNAcentral describes it as "bacterial SSU rRNA". It matches the Rfam family "Bacterial small subunit ribosomal RNA", at positions 28 to 402 of the family's 1533-position model. The record is from RNAcentral.
GACGAACGCUGGCGGCGCGCCUAACACAUGCAAGUCGAACGAGCAAAGAGGAGCUUGCUUCUCUGAGCGAGUGGCGAACGGGUGAGUAACGCGUGAGGAACCUGCCUCAAAGAGGGGGACAACAGUUGGAAACGACUGCUAAUACCGCAUAAGCCCACGGUACCGCAUGGCACUGAGGGAAAAAGGAUUUAUUCGCUUUAGGAUGGACUCGCGUCCAAUUAGCUAGUUGGUGAGGUAACGGCCCACCAAGGCGACGAUUGGUAGCCGGACUGAGAGGUUGAACGGCCACAUUGGGACUGAGACACGGCCCAGACUCCUACGGGAGGCAGCAGUGGGGGANAUUGCACAAUGGGGGAAACCCUGAUGCAGCGACGCCGCGU